AAACCCACCUACUCUAAUUAAACCCAAACCCACCCAAUUAUUAGUUUGGUUAAAUGGACAUUAGACCCAAUAAUUAUUGGGUUUUAACUAAAAACCCAUUCAACCCAAAAUCAAUACAACCCAAAUUCAACCCAGCCCUUCCCAAAAAAAAAAACCCAGCCCUUAGGUUUCAUGAGGGUUUUCAUUUUCCCUCAUUUUCUCGGCUUCCAAUCACAUCAAAACUCUUCAAAGCUUCAGCAGAUUUCUGAGUUGUUUGCCGGAAUAUUCACGCUAUCUCUUUCUGGUCACUCCAGCUCUCAUUGGUGGAUAUGUUGUGGUGAAUGAAAAGCUGCCUAAUUAUGUAGUCCCAUAUUUGACUGACUUCAAGAUAUGGAUUCAAUGAAUGAAGAAAAUGAUGAGUAUUAGGUGAAAGGAAGCUAUUUUAAGCUCGUAUCUGCUACAUACAAGAAAAAAGAGGUUAACAUCUGGGAUCCUAAGGCUACAAAUUUUUUUGGGUUCAAAGAAGACUUUCUUGGGGAUACAUUUAAAAAUGUAUAACCUGCAUUAAUCAUUGAGUGCAGUCUUUUUUAUUUUGAUCGGGUUAGCGAUGGCUCAUCCUUAUAAACAUGUAAAUCAGAAUCUGGAAAGCAUUUUAAAAUCCUUUGCUACUCUUCAGUUUCUUUGCAUUUUCCAACUUACAUUACUACAAUUACAAAUAACAAUUUUUUCAUAGUUGUAGUAGUAGUAGUUGUAGAUUUGUGUCUUUUGUAAUUCGUAUUAUGUUGAUGUAGGAUGGUAACACAUUUUGUUGCACAAGACUUUCGUGUUGUAUGGAUAGUGAUAUCUCUAUAAAGAAUGCAUGGUCAUACUUCAAAAAGAUUUUGGUAGUAUUUUGAGAAA
Long non-coding RNA from Quercus robur (English oak), 879 nucleotides. RefSeq lists it as uncharacterized. The record is from RefSeq and is a predicted model, not a curated record. Lineage: Eukaryota; Viridiplantae; Streptophyta; Magnoliopsida; Fagales; Fagaceae. The transcript has 4 exons.